This is a long non-coding RNA of Astatotilapia calliptera (eastern happy), 1300 nucleotides long. The record is from Ensembl. Lineage: Eukaryota; Metazoa; Chordata; Actinopteri; Cichliformes; Cichlidae.
ACACUGAAAAAAAUAUGUUGUUGGAUUUACUUAAUUCAAUGGUGGACAUUUGUUGCACACAGAUGUUUUGCUUUGGCAGCAACUUAAACAAUUGAGUUAAAUUAACACAAUUUAUUCAUGUUCAAUAAACCUGUGCAAUUUGUGUUGAUAAAAUGUGACUUAAACAUGUUUUGAUGAAGUAAUUUGAGCUCUUGAAAUAUUUUAAUCCUUCACAAUUUUCUCACUUUAUCCCAACACCAUUCAAUAACUUUUACCCAAUACUACUUGGUCACUUAAAUACUACAUGUUAUCUUCAAAUUACAUUUUGCUAUUAUAUUCUAGUAUCAAAUACACAAUUUUCAAAUGGAGGCCUUAUAACAGAUUAUAUUGUUCUCUUCCAAGAUGGUUGCUGGCAUCCACCAGUAACCUUUCAAAACAAAAUGUCUAAUUUCACUGCAUUGACAGUAGGUAAAGAAUUAAACUGACAUUACUCCACUACUGAAUCUAUAUAAAUCAACAGUUAAAUAAUGUCAGUUCUUCCGUGUUCUCUGGAAUCAAUCACAGCAAAGAAAUUAGACUGUUUCUUUUGAAAAAUGUUGGGAAAGAACAAAUCAAAACAUUCUAUUUAAGGCCUCUGACGUCAAGAUUCAGUUAAACAACAAUUAUAACUAAACAAAUUUGAGGUAAUGUUAGUUUCCAUUAACAUUAAAUUAGGUUACUGAAUUGGCAAACACCUUCCUAUUAACACUACCCAUUUUACCCCAAUAACUAAAGAAAUUAGCACUUGCAGGUCAAAACCUUUAUUCAAGAGAUGCAAAAAUAACAUUGAUACAGUGACUGUCAAAAAUUACGGCACUGAUCAUACUGUGACAUCUUGGUUCAAAACAGCACACUUAGAAAUAUUCAACGUUCCUUACUUCAACUGAAUGAAACUGAAAAUACCAUUUCACACGACCCAUAUGGGAUAUUUAGACUGUAUAACUGUUCACGCUACAUCUCUUCACUAGUAAAAGAAAGAAAAAAUACAAAGAGAAAUUUAAAAAUGCUGCCAAAAUGCUGUACAGAGCAAAAGGAAAAACAAACAACAACAACAAAAACGGCUCGUCCUCAUGGCAGUUGCAGAGUAUAUAAAAAUGAACCCUGCGAUCUGUUCCUGGAAUUGAGCUUCAAAAAUGCAGCAGAACAAGUGUGAGAUUUAAAUGUCCUUUCACCUAGAGCUGAUCAGCUUGCAUGCAUAACAGUGAGCUUUCCUUGCAGGAGCAGUUUUGUCUUAGUUGUGAGUUUUUCUUGAGAGCUGAGUUGCUUCCAACUCCAUUACCAC